UACGUAGGGUGCGAGCGUUGUCCGGAAUUAUUGGGCGUAAAGAGCUCGUAGGCGGCUUGUUGCGUCGACUGUGAAAAACCACGACUCAACCGUGGGACUGCAGUCGAUACGGGCAGGCUAGAGUUCGGUAGGGGAGACUGGAAUUCCUGGUGUAGCGGUGAAAUGCGUAGAGAUCGGGAGGAACACCAGUGGCGAAGGCGGCUACCUGGACCAGCACUGACACUGAGGCACGAAAGCGUGGGGAGCAAACAGG
RNAcentral lists this ribosomal RNA (253 nucleotides) under uncultured bacterium. RNAcentral's name for it is "partial 16S ribosomal RNA". It matches the Rfam family "Bacterial small subunit ribosomal RNA", at positions 524 to 776 of the family's 1533-position model. The record is from RNAcentral.